AUGAAGGAACCUGUCCACAUUGAAUUCAAGAAGGACGGCCUGAACUACAUGGAGAAACUCUUGCUUAAGAAAUACAGAAGAACUCCUGUUGAUCAAAUUUCUGGUAGUUGCGUUAAAGAUUCAAGGCCUGUACAGACACUGAGUGUACAUCAGGCUGUGACUGCAGAAGGGGGAGAAGGAGAUGAUGAUGUCGAUGACUUAACAGUUGAAGAGGUGAAGAGAUAUUGGACAUCUGUGUUUAGAGAACAAGUACCCAACACUGUUUCUGAAAGUGCAGAGUCAUCUUUGAAAAUUGAGUUCCUUGAUGAUUCUUAUGGCAAGGACUUGGAGGAAUCAUCUGACGUUUUGUUGAUGGAAGCUAGGGCUACGGGAAUGAAUAAGCAAGGAAAAGCUGAACCACUGAAGCAGUAUGAAAGAAAUCCUGUUUAUUCUAAAGAAGUUUCUCAAGAAAAAAUGCUUGACUGCAGUCGUCUUGAAAGAAAUGCAGUGCAAAAGGAGAGUAUUGAACUAAAGGCUAUGAGAAGGUCACUUAGCUCCUGUGAACUACCUGAGAAGUUCUCUAACCCUACUGAACUAACAAACAACAAAUAUCUCCUUGGGACACAAUUGCAGAAAAGCAAUAAAGAUUCACAAGAGCUGGUCAGUGUCUGCAAUAGUCAAAGUUUGGUUUUGCCUAUAAUUAUGAAGUCUUCAUUGGUAAAAUAUUUUAUCUUUGAUUGCUAA
This 723-nucleotide long non-coding RNA is filed under the name Calidris pygmaea (Spoon-billed sandpiper). Its description in RNAcentral is "lncRNA (ENSCPGG00000006656.1)". The record is from RNAcentral. Lineage: Eukaryota; Metazoa; Chordata; Aves; Charadriiformes; Scolopacidae.